Molecule: ribosomal RNA, 253 nt
Filed under: uncultured bacterium
Lineage: Bacteria
Description: partial 16S ribosomal RNA
Rfam family: Bacterial small subunit ribosomal RNA
Source: RNAcentral
UACAGAGGGUGCAAGCGUUAUUCGGAAUUACUGGGCGUAAAGAGCGCGUAGGCGGCUCGAUAAGUCCGAUGUGAAAUCCCAGGGCUCAAUCCUGGAAGUGCAUCGGAUACUGUUGGGCUGGAGUAUAGGAGGGGAGAGUGGAAUUCCUGGUGUAGAGGUGAAAUUCGUAGAUAUCAGGAGGAACAACAGUGGCGAAGGCGACUCUCUGGACUAUUACUGACGCUGAGGCGCGAAAGCGUGGGGAGCAAACAGG